UGGGGAAUAUUGGACAAUGGGCGCAAGCCUGAUCCAGCCAUGCCGCGUGUGUGAAGAAGGCCUUAUGGUUGUAAAGCACUUUAAGCGAGGAGGAGGCUACUUUAGUUAAUACCUAGAGAUAGUGGACGUUACUCGCAGAAUAAGCACCGGCUAACUCUGUGCCAGCAGCCGCGGUAAUACAGAGGGUGCGAGCGUUAAUCGGAUUUACUGGGCGUAAAGCGUGCGUAGGCGGCUAAUUGAGUCGGAUGUGAAAUCCCCGAGCUUAACUUGGGAAUUGCAUUCGAUACUGGUUAGCUAGAGUGUGGGAGAGGAUGGUAGAAUUCCAGGUGUAGCGGUGAAAUGCGUAGAGAUCUGGAGGAAUACCGAUGGCGAAGGCAGCCAUCUGGCCUAACACUGACGCUGAGGCACGAAAGCAUGGGGAGCAAACAGG
This 430-nucleotide ribosomal RNA is filed under the name Pseudomonadota bacterium. Its description in RNAcentral is "Proteobacteria bacterium partial 16S ribosomal RNA". It matches the Rfam family "Bacterial small subunit ribosomal RNA", at positions 355 to 776 of the family's 1533-position model. Lineage: Bacteria; Pseudomonadati; Pseudomonadota. The record is from RNAcentral.